RNAcentral lists this ribosomal RNA (1491 nucleotides) under Triticum aestivum (bread wheat). Its description in RNAcentral is "partial small subunit ribosomal RNA". The record is from RNAcentral. Lineage: Eukaryota; Viridiplantae; Streptophyta; Magnoliopsida; Poales; Poaceae.
AUGAAAAACGGUAGUCCAUCACUUAAUGCACUGGACCCCGACACAUUCGCCGGAGAGUCCCGCGCUGUGAUAGACUUCCUCGCCGGCUACUACCGCGAUGUGGACAAGUACCCUGUCCAGUCGGAAGCCGAGCCGGGCAGCCUCCGUAGGCUUCUGCCCGACACGGCGCCCGAACACGGUGAGCCGGUUGACGGAAUACUCGAGGAUGUAGGGCAACACAUCCUCCCUGGACUCACACACUUCCAGAGCCCCAACUUCUUUGCCUACUACCCAGCCAACGCCAGCACGGCUGGGUUCGCCGGCGAGAUGCUCUGCGCCGGCCUCAACGUCGCACCCUUCACAUGGGCUGCCUCGCCUCUGGCAACCGAACUUGAAUGCGUCAUGCUAGACUGGAUGUGCAAGCUCAUGUGCCUCCCGGAUCGUUUCCUCUUCUCAGGCGGGGGCGGCGGCGGCGGCGGCGGGGUGCUGCACGGGAGCACCUGCGAGGCCGUGAUAUGCACUCUUGCCGCCGCACGGGAUCGCGCGCUCAGCAAGCUAACCCAUGAAGGCAUCCUCAAGCUGGUGGUGUACGCCUCGGACCAGAGCCACACCACCUUCCAGAAGGGCGCCAGGAUUGUUGGGAUCCCCCCGUCAAACUUCCGCAUCAUCCCAACGUCCGCCUCAUCCAGCUACGGCCUAACCGCAGAAAGCGUCCGCCACGCGGUGGAGGCUGACCUUGCCAGCGGCCUCGUGCCACUCUACCUGUGCGCCACGGUUGGCACCACCGGCGUCGGCGCGGUUGACCCGGUGGGUGAGCUCGGGGAGGUGGCGCGACGCUACGGCAUGUGGCUCCACGUCGACGCCGCCUACGCCGGCAGCGCGCUCAUCUGCCCCGAGUUCCAGGGCUACAUCCACGGCGCCGAGCUGGCCGACUCGGUGAGCAUGAACCCGCACAAGUGGUUCCUCACCAACAUGGACUGCUGCUGCCUCUGGGUGGCCAGCCCAGCUCAGCUUACCUCCGCGCUUUCCAUCACUUCAGAGUACCUCACCGAUGUCAGCUGCCAAGAAACCGUGGAUGUGGUGGACUACAAGGACUGGCAGAUUGCCUUGGGACGCCGAUUCCGCGCCAUCAAGCUGUGGGUUGUUCUACGCCGGUACGGCGCGGCGGGCCUACGAGCGCACAUCAGGAGGCAUGUGGAGAUGGCAAAGUGGUUUGAGCAGGCGGUGAAGGCCGACGAGCGGUUCGAGGUGGUCGCGCCCAGGAGAUUUUCCCUUGUGUGCUUCCGCCUCCGCCCAAGGCCACGGUAUGAAGGCGACCAUGCGGUGGACGCCUUGAACCGUAAGCUUCUCAACGCGGUGAACGCCAGCGGGAGGGCCUUCAUGGUACACACUGUGGUGGACAACAAGUUCGUUAUCCGCCUCGCCAUAGGUGCCACCAUGACCCAGAUGCGCCACGUCCGAAACGCAUUUCACCUCAUCCAGGAGAAAGCCACCCAAAUACUCCCUCCAUAG